Long non-coding RNA from Girardinichthys multiradiatus, 501 nucleotides. RefSeq lists it as uncharacterized. The record is from RefSeq and is a predicted model, not a curated record. The transcript has 2 exons. NCBI's taxonomy places the organism in Eukaryota, Metazoa, Chordata, Actinopteri, Cyprinodontiformes, Goodeidae.
UCUGCCAGCACACCUGUUGUCAAUCAUCCAGUCCUAGCUGCUGGAAAUUUAAGGAGCUGUUUGGCAACUAGUUUUCACCUGAUGGUCAACUCAAGCCUCUGAUUCCUUGUGAAACCUGCUCCUUGAUAGCUUUUGUGUUUCAGCCUGUUUCUCCUGAAGCUCACCAUCUGCUGCUUUCUGUGUCCCACAUGGAAAAGUCUGGCUGCUGUAUUGGCUACAAGAAUCCCAUCGGCAGAAGAGGACCUCUCAAUGACUUUUUGGACCAAACAAACAGCUCAUCCCUCUUCAACCACAGCCUACCUUUCCACUCUCAGACUUUGUGCGAGAACCCACAGAACUCUAAAGACCACUUGGACCUCAUGUCUUCAAACAAAUGGAUACAUUACCACCAGGAUCAUUAGCCUCCCUUUCAGCCUUAGCUUGACCCUGAGCCCAAUGCAGAUGAACCUGAUAGCCUGAAGUCAGACAUCACUGUAGUUGUAAAUAAAUCUUUGAACUGCU